This 253-nucleotide ribosomal RNA is filed under the name uncultured bacterium. RNAcentral's name for it is "partial 16S ribosomal RNA". It matches the Rfam family "Bacterial small subunit ribosomal RNA", at positions 524 to 776 of the family's 1533-position model. The record is from RNAcentral.
UACGUAGGGUGCGAGCGUUAAUCGGAAUUACUGGGCGUAAAGCGUGCGCAGGCGGUUUUGUAAGUCAGAUGUGAAAUCCCCGGGCUUAACCUGGGAAUGGCAUUUGGGACUGCAAGGCUCGAGUGCGGCAGAGGAGACUGGAAUUCCUGGUGUAGCAGUGAAAUGCGUAGAGAUCGGGAGGAACAUCAGUUGCGAAGGCGGCUCUCUGGACCAGCACUGACACUGAGGCACGAAAGCGUGGGGAGCAAACAGG